This is a long non-coding RNA of Myotis davidii, 601 nucleotides long. RefSeq lists it as uncharacterized. Lineage: Eukaryota; Metazoa; Chordata; Mammalia; Chiroptera; Vespertilionidae. The transcript has 2 exons. The record is from RefSeq and is a predicted model, not a curated record.
GAAAACAUCCUCUCACUUUGUGACCGGAAGUUGAACUCCGGGGCAGCCAGACCACAAGCGGCUUAUUGAAAGGCAAGGCGGAGGUGCACCGCUUGGCUGGGAUCCCGGAGCGCUAGAUGUUGUGCGUCCCCGGCCUUGGGCUCGUAAAUCCUGAGCUGGCGGUGAUUUGAAAGGCUGGGAUCUACUGGAGAUGUCUGGAUGACUACACUGAACAAAUUCCAGUCUCCCUCCGUUUUGGCUGAGAAACAAUGCUUCCCACCGACUGAUGAAAACGUUCGCCCUGCCACUGGCGUCUGUACAGUUGUGGAUAUUGGCCUGCGCAGGAAAAAAAAAAAAAGAGUGGCCCCUUUGGGCCAAUAAUAAUAAAUUAGCUUGUGCUUGAAUUAGCCAAGUCUUUGCGGUUUUGUUAACUUGGCCUCACUUUUCUUGGAGUAGGAAGUGCCCAUUCCUAAAAAAGUGACUUUUCUAAUUUGAACUGACACCUCAUAAGGCCGUGCAAUUAUCAAAGAGGACAGAGUAGCCCGGAAUAUUUUUGGUGACAAUGGAUUUGGGUCUUCUUCAAACCUGUUUCAGACAAGGUCCUUUUUCCCCUUAAAAAAAA